This 205-nucleotide long non-coding RNA is filed under the name Solanum tuberosum (potato). RNAcentral describes it as "long non-coding RNA (STUB_LNC001160)". Lineage: Eukaryota; Viridiplantae; Streptophyta; Magnoliopsida; Solanales; Solanaceae. The record is from RNAcentral.
CUUAGAUUGUUAAUCUCCACAAUAUCAUCACAAAACAAGAUAUGAGCAGCUUUACAUCACCUUCAAAAUGCAGAUAAACACCAAUUAACUUCAAGUUAUACAACAAAAAUAGCAUAUUCAGUAUAAUCGCACAAAAAACUUUCUGCCAGACAAGUUCAAGAUUAAAUUUUUUUUUUUUUGAACUUUGACUAUUUCAAACAUGUNN